CGGUGAGUGGAAAGUGGCGGACGGGUGAGUAAAAUGUAGAGAAUCGUGCCCUAGAGAGUGGGACAACAGAGGGAAACUUCUGCUAAUACCGCAUAGUGCGCGUAGCUGAGAUGCUAGUUCGUGAAAACUCCGGUGCUCUGGGAUGAGUCUGCAUCUGAUUAGCUAGUUGGCGGUGUAAUGGACCACCAAGGCGACGAUCAGUAGCUGGUUUGAGAGGAUGAUCAGCCACAAUGGGACUGAGACACGGCCCAUACUCCUACGGGAGGCAGCAGUAGGGAAUUUUGCGCAAUGGGCGAAAGCCUGAACCGCAGCAACGCCGCGUGACCGAUGAAGCCCUUCGGGGUGUAAAGGUCUGUCAGUGGGGACGAAACUUGACGGUACCCACAGAGGAAGCAUCGGCUAACUCCGUGCCAGCCGCAGC
Molecule: ribosomal RNA, 421 nt
Filed under: uncultured bacterium
Lineage: Bacteria
Description: bacterial SSU rRNA
Rfam family: Bacterial small subunit ribosomal RNA
Source: RNAcentral